AAAAGGAUUAAGCCCUCAGAAGGAGGUUACACACUAAGAAGAACUUCACAUAAAGUGGAAGAUAUAUCCAACCAAACAGAUGAACAAAUCUCAAGAUAGGAACACAGUAUGCAAAAGCAUGAUCAAGUUUGGUGAGACAUGGACAUUUAACAUCAGUUAGAAUGCCAACGUGGCACCUGCUUCUCAUCGGACAGGACGGGCACUGACUGUGCACUGGAAAUUGAGGGUUUUUAUGGGAACAUCUUCAACUUGAAGAGAGAUAAACAACUGCGGUCACUCAAUUCUUAACGUAGUCACUGGAAUAAAAAUGAGGGCAACUGAAAUGAAUACAAACCUCCACACAGACACUCUAAAG
Long non-coding RNA from Heterocephalus glaber (naked mole-rat), 355 nucleotides. The record is from Ensembl. Lineage: Eukaryota; Metazoa; Chordata; Mammalia; Rodentia; Bathyergidae.